This 219-nucleotide ribosomal RNA is filed under the name uncultured prokaryote. Its description in RNAcentral is "partial 16S ribosomal RNA". It matches the Rfam family "Bacterial small subunit ribosomal RNA", at positions 524 to 742 of the family's 1533-position model. The record is from RNAcentral.
UACGUACGAGGCAAGCGUUAUCCGGAAUUACUGGGCGUAAAGCGCGCGCAGGCGGAUCGUUAAGUAGGGCGUGAGAUCUCCCGGCCUAACUGGGAGGGGUCGCCCUAAACUGGCAGUCUUGAGGACAGCAGAGGUAGGUGGAAUUCCUGGUGUAGUGGUGAAAUGCGUAGAGAUCAGGAGGAACACCGGUGGCGAAGGCGGCCUACUGGGCUGUCUCUG